RNAcentral lists this transfer RNA (70 nucleotides) under Apocheima cinerarius. Its description in RNAcentral is "tRNA-His". The record is from RNAcentral. Lineage: Eukaryota; Metazoa; Arthropoda; Insecta; Lepidoptera; Geometridae.
AAAUCUAAAAUCUUACAAUGCUGGUAUGUUAACUGUUUUAUCAAAUCGAAUUGGGGAUGUUUUAAUUUUA